GUGGAAGAGCUAACUUGCUGAGUCUUCCGGCAUUCGUCUUUCUUCCCUGCUGGAUGCUUCCUACCCGCGAACAUCAGACUCCAAGUUCUUCGGCCUUUGGACUCUCUUUUUUUGUUUUUUAAGAGACGGAGUCUAGCUCUGUCGCCCAAGCUGGAGUGCAGUGGCGUAAUCUCGGCUCACUGCACCUUCCGCCUCCUGGGUUAAAGCGAUUCUCCUGCCUCAGCCUCCCUAGUAGCUGGGACUACAGGCGCGCGCCGUCACGCCCGGCUAAUUUUUUGUAUUUUAGUAGAGACGGGGUUUCACCGUGUUGUCCAGCCUGGUCUCAAACUCCUGAGCUCAGGCAAUCCACCUGCCUCGGCCUCCUAAAAUGCUAGGAUAACAGGCGUGCGCCUCCGCGCCCGGCCUGCCUUUGGACUCUUGAACUUAGACCAGUUGUUUGCUGGGGCUCUUGGGCCUUUGGCCACAGACUGAAGGCUGCACUGUUGGCUUCCCUACUUUUGAGGUUUUGGGACUUGGACUGAACCAGUACUGGCUUCGUUGCUCCUCAACUUGCAGAUGGACUCUCAUGGGACUUCAUCUUGUGAUCGUGAAGGGGGCAUGAUCGAAUCUUCUGCUUUCCUUUUGAGCAUUUUCUCUGUGAGCCAAACUGACUGUUAUCCCUGCCACCAGGUAUAUUAAUGCUGUAAGGAAUUGUGCAGGAGGUCAAAAACCUGGAGGAUGCCUUACUUGGCCUGAUGUCAAGCCCUGAAAACAGCUGGCUGUCUGGUUGGAUCAGUCCCCCGUGGCAAACUCAGGACUCUGCGUUCCCAGUACUGGCUCACAGAAUCUGGUUGAAUCACCAAAAUGUGAAGACAAGCCUUCAGUUCCCUUCUUGACCACCAGCAUGGAACUAAACAAUUAAACCUGUCAGAAAAAAAAAAGCUGCUGUAUUUUAAGGUAACAGAGACAUGGACUUUUUAAGGUAACAGAGACAUGGACUUGAGAAGACAACUUGGCUCAAUUCCUAGCUCUGCAACUUACUUACUAGGUUUGUGUCUUUGGACUGCAUCCUAACAAACAACUGUGUCAAGACAUUUGAACAGCAUAUUCUACACAAAUAAAAAGGAAAUGAUAAAGAUAAAAGAAAUUAAUAGAAUGGAAAGUGAUGGAGAUAAACAAGUGAAAAGAUGGUCCUUUGAAAAGACUAAAACAUGGCCAAUGCACUGGCAAGAAUGAUUGGGACAAUAAACAAAAUAUAUAUGCCAGGGCAGCUCCCGGCGAGAUCGACGCAAAAGGUGGGUGAUUUCUGCAUUUCCAACUGGGGUACUCAGUUCACCUCAUUGGGACUGGUUGGACAGUGGGUGUAGCCCAGGGAGGGUGAGCCAAAGCAGGGUGGGGCAUUGUCUCACCCCAGAAGCACAAGGGGUCGGGGGAUUUCCCGUUCCUAGCCAAGGGAAGCCGUGAGACACUGUACCGGGAGAAACUGCACUCUGGCCCAGAUACUGCACUUUUCCCAUGGUCUUCGAAACCAGCAGACCAGGAGACUCCCUCCCGUGCCUGGCUCAAUGGGUCCCACCCUCACAGAGCCCAGCAAGCUAAGAUCCACUGGCUUGAAAUUCUUGCUGCUAGCACAGCAGUCUGAGAUCCACCUGGGACUCUCCAGCUUGCUGGCGGGGGAAGGGUCGUCGCCAUUGCUGAGGCUUGAGUAGGCAGUUUUCCCCUCACAGUGUAAACAAGGCAUCCUGGAAGUUCAAAGUGGAUGGAGCCCACUGCAGCUCAGCAAGGCUGCUGCAGGGGCAUCUCUGAAAAGAAGGCAGCAGCCCCAGUCAGGGGCUUAUAGAUAAAACCCUCAUCUCCCUGGGACAGAGCACCUGGGGGAAGGGGUGGCUGUGGGCGCAGCUUCAGCAGACUUAAACGUCUCUGCCUGGCAGCUCUUAAGAGAGCAGUGGAUCUCCCAGCACAGUAUUUGAGCUCUGAUAAGGGACAGGCUGCCUCCUCAACUGGGUCCCUGACCCCCAUGUAUCCUGACUGGGAGACAUCUCCCAGUAGGGGCUGACAGAUACCUCAUACAGGAGAGCUCUUGCUGACAUCUGGUGGGUGCCCCUCUGGGAUGAAGCCUCCAGAGGAAGGAACAGGCAGCAAUCUUUGCUGUUCUGCAGCCUCUGCUGGUGAUACCCAGGCAAACAGGGUCUGGAGUAGACCUCCAGCAAACCCCAGCAGCUCUGCAGAAGAGGGGCCUGGCUGUUAGAAGGAAAACUAACAAACAGAAAGGGAUAGUAGCAACAUCAACAAAAAGGACGUCCACUCAGAGACCCCAUCCAAAGGUCACCAGCAUCAAAGACCAAAGGUAGAUAAAUCCACAAAGAUGGGGAAAAACCGCCGCAAAAAGGCUGAAAACUCCAAAAACCAGAACGUCUCUUCUCCAAAGGAUCAGAACUCCUUGGCAGCAAGGGAACAAAACUGGAUGGAGAAGGAGUUUGACGAAUUCACAGAAGUAGACUUCAGAAGGUGGGUAAUAACAAACUCCUCAAAGCUAAAGGAGCAUGUUCUAACCCAAUGCAAGGAAGCUAAGAACCUUGGAAAAAGGUUAGACGAAUUGCUAACUAGAAUAACCAGUUGAGAGAAGAACAUAAAUGACAUGAUGGAGCUGAAAAGCACAGCAAGAGAACUUCGUGAAGCAUACACAAGUAUCAAUAGCCAAAUCAAUCAAGUGGAAGAAAGGAUAUCAGAGAUUGAAGAUCAACUCAAUGAAAUAAAGCAAGAAGACAAUAUUAGAGAAAAAAGUGAAAAGAAACAAAGCCUCCAAGAAAUACGGGACUAUGUGAAAAAUCCAAAUCUACAUUUGAUUGGUGUACCUGAAAGUGAUGGGGAGAAUGGAACCAAGUUGGAAAACACUCUUCAGGAUAUUAUCCAGGAGAACAUCCCCAACCUAACAAGGCAGAUCAACAUUCAAAUUCAGGAAAUACUGAGAACACCACUAAGACAUUCCUUGAGAAGAGCAACCCCAAGACACAUAAUCAUCAGAUUCACCAAGGUUGAAAUUAAGGAAAAAAUGUUAAGGGCAGCCAGAGAGAAAGGUCGGGUUACCCACAAAGGGGGGCCCAUCAGACUAACAGCACAUCUCUCGGUAGAAACCCUAUUAGCCAGAAGAGAGUAGGGACCAAUAUUCAACAUUCUUAAAAGAAUUCUCAACCCAGAGUUUCGUAUCCAGCCAAACUAAGCUUCUUAAGUGAAGAAGAAAUAAAAUCCUUUACAGUCAAGCAAAUGCUGAGAGAUUUUGUCACCACCAGGCCUGCCUCACAAGAGCUCCUGAAGGAAGCACUAAACGUGGAAAGGAACAACUGGUACCAGCCACUGCAAAAACACACCAAAUUGUAAAGACCAUCGAUGCUAUGAAGGAACUGCAUCAACUAAUGGGCAAAAUAACCAGCUAGCAUCAUAAUGACAGGAUCAAAUUCACACAUAACAAUGUUAACCUUAAAUGUAAAUGGGCUAAAUGCCCCAGUUAAAAGACCCAUCAGUGUGCUGUAUUCAGGAGACCCAUCUUACGUGCAAAGACACACAUAAGCUCAAAAUAAAGAGAUGGAGGAAUAUUUACCAAGCAAAUGGAAAGCAAAAAAAGCAGGGGUUGCAAUCCUAGUCUCUGAUAAAACAGACUUUAAACAAACAAAGAUCAAAAGAGACAAAGAAGGCCAUUACAUAAUGGUAAAGGGAUCAAUGCAACAAGAAGAACUAACUAUCCUUAUAUACAGAAGUGCCCAGAUUCAUAAAGUAAGUUCUUAGAGACCUACAAAGAGAUUUAGACUCCCACACAAUAACAGUGGGAGACUUUAACACCUCACUGUCAACAUUAGACAGAUCAACGAGACAGAAAAUUAACAAGGAAGUCCAUAACUUGAAUUCAGCUCUGGACCAAGUGGACCUAAUAGACAUCUACAGAACUCUCCACCCGAAAUCAACAGAAUAUAUAUUCUUCUCAGCACUACAUCGCACUUAUUCUAAAAUUUACCAAAUAGUUGGAAGUAAAACACUCCUCAGCAAAUGCAAAAGAUGGAAAUCAUAACAAGCAGUCUCUCAGACCACAGUGUAAUCAAAUUACAACUCAGGAUUAAGAAACUCACUCAAAACCACACAACUACAUGGAAACUGAACAACCUGCUCCAGAAUGACUACUGGGUACAUAACGAAAUGAAGGCAGAAAUAAAGAUGUUGUUUGAAACCAAUGAGAACAAAGACACAACAUAACAGAAUCUCUGGGACACAUUUAAAGCAUAUGUAGAGGGAAAUUUAUAGCACUAAAUGCCCACAAGAAAAAGCAGGACAGAUCUAAAAUCGACCCCCUAUCAUCACAACUAAAAGAACUAGAGAAGCAAGAGCAAACACAUUCAAAAGCUAGCAGAAGACAAAAAAUAACUAAGAUUAGAGCAGAACUGAAGGAGAUAGAGACAGGAAAAAACCUUCAAAAAAAUCAAUGAAUCCAGGAGCUGGUUUUUUGAAAAGGUCAACAAAAUAGAUGGACCACCAGCAAGACUAAUAAAGAAGAAAAGAGAGAAGAAUCAAAUAGACGCAAUAAAAAAUGUAAAAGGGGAUAUCACCACCAAUCCCACAGAAAUACAAACUACCAUCAGAGAAUACUAUAAACACCUCUACACAAAUAAACUAGAAAAUCUAGAAGAAAUGGAUAAAUUCCUGGACAUGUACACUCUCCCAAGACGAAACCAGCAAGAAGUCAAAUCCCUGAGUAGACCAAUAAUAAAUUCUGAAAUUGAGGCAGUAAUUAAUGAGAUACCAUCUCAUGCCAGUUAGAAUGGUGAUCAUUGAAAAGUCAGGAAAGAACAGAUGCUGGAGAGGAUGUGGAGAAAUAGGAAUGCUUUUACACUGUUGGUGGGAGUGUAAAUUAGCAUAACACAUCAAAAUAUACAUAAAAUAAAAUGUAUUAUGGUCAAGUAGCUUUACGAGAAUUAAAGGUUGGAUUCAUAUUUAAGAAUAGAUCAGUGCCAUUUUGCACACCAUCAAAUAAAGGAUAAAAAAAAUCACAUGAUCAUUUCAACUGAUAUGGGGAAAGCAAUUGAUAAAAUACAAUGUCCAAACAUUACUUACCAAAAAGAAAAAAUAACCUCUUAGCGAACUAGAAAUUGGAGACAGCUUUCUUAAAUUUGUCAAGAUUUUCUACAAAAAAUAAAACUAUGUGAAACAUCAUUGAAUUUAAUCGCAAAAUGUUGAAAGGCUUCCCUCUAUGAUAAAGAAUAAAGGGAUGUACUCUAUAAUCACUUCUAUUCAUCAUUGAAUUGAAAGUUCCAAGAGUGCAAAAAUGUCAAAAAAAUGAACGAAAGUACGUGUGUUUUUAAGGAAGAAAUAAAACUGUAAUUCUCAUAUAUCAUUGUCUAUUCAGAAAAUUAAAAAUAACAGGAAGACUAAUCAAAUAAAUAAUGGUAUUGGCAAGUUUAAUACAAAAAUAUCCAUUGCAUUUCUAUAUCCUAGCAAAAUUGGAAAAUAAAAUGUUAAAAUGAUACCAUUUAUAAUAGUAUAAAGCACACAUAUCUUCCCAAAAUAAAACUGAAUCAAAAAACAUAUGUUAGAAUGUUUGUGGCAGUUUUAUUUGUGAUUGCCAAAAUGAGAAACAACCCAAUGUCUGUUAGUAAAUGGAUAAAUAAAUAUAGGACACAUCAUACAAUGAAAACCUAUAAUAGCAAUGGUUCUUAGACUUUUUAUCUAAGGACAGUUUUACACUCUAACAAAAAAUUGAAGACCUUAAAAUGCUUUUGUUUAUACGAGUUUUGUCUAUCGAUAUUUACAGUAUUAGCAACUGAAACUGAGAUGUUUUAAAUGUUCUGUCAAGAAUUGUGAAGUGUCUGAGAAUUUCCUGUGCUUGCAAGCUAACAAGUUAGCCUGCCAGAGUUUCAUGUAUGCUAGUAGAAGACACAAGAAUAUCAGGUCAAAGACAAAGGACAUUAUAACUUACAGCAAUAGCAGUACCCAGAGUAUCAGCAUUAUCUUGUGUCAGUUUUCCAAGCCCAAGUUCCCCAGGACAACAUGAUUAGGGCCAAGUGACAGCAGCACAUGCAAUGAGUAAUGUUACAGAAGAGAAACCCUGAGCUUAGGAGCCUGAUUAUUUUAUAAUGAGCAAUAAGCAUACCUUCUCUUUGUUCAGGAGGGAGACACUACCUCUCUUUUCCAAAGCUAUCCCUUAUAUAAACAUCCUUGAAAAAGCACUCCGGAACAAAGGCAGUGAGUGCUUCCAUUCUAGCAAAGACUUGGAACCAACCCAAAUGUCCAACGAUGAUAGACUGGAUUAAGAAAAUGUGGCACAUAUACACCAUGGAAUACUAUGCAGCCAUAAAAAAUGAUGAGUUCAUGUCCUUUGUAGGGACAUGGAUGAAACUGGAAAUCAUCAUUCUCAGUAAACUAUCGCCAAGGACAAAAAACCAAACAUCACAUGUUCUCACUCAUAGGUGGGAAUUGAACAAUGAGAACACAUGGACACAGGAAGGGGAACAUCACACUCUGGGGACUGUCGUGGGGUGGGGGGAGCGGGGAGGGAUAGCAUUAGGAGAUAUACCUAAUGCUAAAUGACGAGUUAAUGCGUGCAGCACACCAGCAUGGCACAUGUAUACAUAUGUAACUAACCUGCACAUUGUGCACAUGUACCCUAAAACUUAAAGUAUAAUAAUAAUAAAAUAAAAAAAAGAAAGUACAGAAACAGAAGAGAUUCAAAGAAUUAUCCUCUAGCCCACUCAUUCCAUGUUAAAAUAAAUAACAUUUUAUGAAAAAUGGCUAUUUUCCAAAACAAAAUAAAAUUAUUGGAGAGAGUGGCAUUGCUUUACAAGUUUACAAAUCUAUUCAAUGUCUGGUUUAGUGAAAGAAGUGUAUCUGCUUUUGCAUUCAUUCUGUUUUGAUAUCACAUGUUAUAUAGCGUUUGGAAACUUCUAUAUACUCACAAGAAAAUGAAAAGUCAAAUAACAUAUAUUGAUGAUGAUUGAUAGUUUUUUGAUGUUACUGACUCUCUGAAAGGGUCUCGGGAAUUCCCAAGGGUGCCCAGACUACACUUUGAGAACUGAUUCCAUGUAUCAGUACAAAUAAAACAGUGCAGAAACUAAUCGCAUGGAUGAACCUCAAAGGACCAAAUAUAUCAAAAACAAAAUUGAAUAUACUAUGUGAUUCCAUUUAUAUUAACUUCAGAAAGAUAAAAUUAAUUGUGAUAGGAGUCGGAAAGGUUAGCGAUUAGGAGGAGGUAUGGAUAGGGACAGUGCUGAGUUCCUGGCUACAUUUUGAUUCUUACUAGUGUUUUCAUAAAUGCACUGACUGCAUAAAUUGGAAAAAAUGUGUACAAGAAUGGUUUUAGCAGCAUUCUCUAUUAGAGUUAUGUGUUGUGUCCCACCAAAGGAUGUGAAGUCCUAACCCCCAGUAAUCAGAAUGUGACUUUAUUUGGUCAUGGGGUCAUUGCAGAUGUAGUUGGUUAAGAUGAGGUCAUACUGGAGUACACUAGGUUCUUAAUUCAAUAUGACUGCUAUUCUUACAGGGAAAGGGAAGUUUGGGCAGAAAUACAUAGGGAGAAUGUCAUGUGAUAACAAAGACAAAUAUUGGAAUUAUGCAGCUGCACACCAAGGAAUGCCAAAGAUUGCUGGCAAAUAAACAUAAGCUAGAAAGAGGAAAGGAAAGAUUCCCCUACAGGUUCCAGAGGGAGUAUUGCCCUGCAGACACCUUGAAUUUGGACUUCCAUCCUCCAGAACUGUGAGACAAUACAUUUCUAAUGUUUUAAGCCACUUGAUUUGUAGUACUUUGUUAUGGCAGCCCUCGGGAAAUAGUACAGCAAGUAACUGGGAGCAACCUAGAUGUCUGAAACAGAUGGAAAAUUAAAUAAAAUACUGCAAGAAAAUUUUUAAAUAAAUGAGGUAGAUAUGUAAGUACUAAUAUAAAAAUGUUCAAAAUAAAUCUAAAAGAGCAAGUUACAUAAAAAUGUAUUGUUACAUUUGUGUAAAGGAAACUAAUACACGUGUGUGUGUGUGUCUAUUUGUAAGGAAACAAUAGAAAUAUCAAUAGUUUUAUGUCUGUGGGAUAAAUAACCAGAAAAAGGGAAUAUCUUAUUUUUUUACUUUAACCUUUAAUUUUUAAACCAUAAUCAUGUAUAGCUUUUAUAAUGGAAAAAAUGCAAAUCUGUUCCUUUACUGUCCAAGUUAUUUCAGUGGAUUCUUUUUGCCUGUAAAAGUUGAAAUCCUUAUCCAAGACCUACACUGUGGCUUCCCCAAACUCUCCAUCCUUGGCUUUACCUCUUUCUGUCCCUACUCUUUCUUACCUCUAAAUGGUGCCUGGAACAUAGAAGACACUCAAACAUUUGUUACUUGAAUAAAUAAAUUAAUUAACUGCUCCAAUGCACCUUAAGUUUAACAGAUCAAGGCCUUCUUUCUAAAUAUAACACUUUCAACUUUCUCAACCUAUCCCCUUCGCAUCUUAUAAGGCUAAGCUUAAACAUCACUUCUGCUAGGAAGACUGCCUGACAUUGCAAACUUUGUUAGGUCUGUCUGGUUCUAGGCUCCCAGGACACCUAUUUCUCCCACUUAACACUCAGAAUAGUAGUACUGAGGUUGAGUAUCCCUUUCUGAAAUGCUUAGGACCAGAAAGUAGUGUUUCAGAUUUUAGAUUUUUUUCAGAUUUUGGAAUAUUUGCACAUACAUAAUGAGAUAUCUUGGGACUCAAGGCUAAACAUGAAAUUCAUUUAUGUUUCAUAUACAUCUUAUACACAUAGCCUGAAGGUAUCUUUAUACAAUAUUUUAAAUAAUUUUGUGCAUAAAACGAAGUUUAUAUUAAGUACUUAUGUGUGGAAUUUUCCAUGGUGGUGUCAUGUCACUGCUCAUAAAGUUAUGGAUUUUGGAGCUUUUCAGGUGUCAGAUUUUCAGAUUAAGGAAGCUCAUCGUGUAAUCUUGUAUAGUCAUGAGUUACUUAAUGAUGGAAAUACAUUGUGAGAAAUGCAUCAGUAAGGCGAUUUAGUUGUGCGAACAUCAUAGAGUGUACUUAUAUAAACCUAGAUAGUAUAGCCUACUACACACCUAGACUAUAUGGUGUAGCCUAUGGGUCCUAGGCUACCAAUUUUUAUAGCAUGUGACUACUGAAUACUGUACGCAGUUGUAACACAAUGACAAGUAUUUGUUUCUCUAAACAUAAAUAAACAGAAAAGAUACUGCGAAAAUAUGAUAUAAAAGAUUAAAAAUGGUACCCUAUAUAGGGUACUUACUGUGGAUGGAGCCUGAAGGACUAGAAGUUGCUCUGGGUGAGUGAGUGGUGAGUGAAUAUGAAGGCCAGGACAUUACUAUACACUACUAUAGACUUUAUAAAUACUGUACACUUAGGCUACCCUAAAUUUAUAAAAAUAUUUUUCUUUCUCUAAAACAAAUUUAACUUUUGCUUACUUUAAGCUUUCUACUUUUUAAACUUUUCAAUUUUUUUAGCUUUUUGAUUCUUUUUUAAUAAAACUUAGCUUAAAACACACACAUUGUUCAGCUGUACAAAAAUAUUUUUUCUAUAAGCUUUGUUCUAUUUAUUUACUUUUUAAAUGUUUUUGUUAAAAACAAAUGCACAAACACACACAUUAGCCUAGGCCUAAACAGCGUCAGGAUCAAUGUCAACGUCACUGUCUUCUACCUCCACAUAUUGUCCCACUGGAAGGUCUUCAGAGGCAAUAACUCACAUGGAGCUGCCAUGUCCUACGAUAACAAUGCUUUCUUCUGGAAUACCUCCUGAAGGGGCUCCCUGAGACUGUUUUACAGUUAAACUUAAAAAAAUCAGUAGGACUACACACAAAAAUAACCAAAAAAGUAUAGUAUGGUAAAAUACAUAAACCAGUAACAUAGUAAUUUAUUAUCAAGUAUUAUGUACUGUACAUAGUUGUAUAUGUGAUACUUUCAUAUGACUGGCAGGGCAGUAGGUUUGUUUACACCAGCAUCAUCACAAAUACAUGAGUAAUAUGUUAUGCUAUGACUUUACAAAUGGCUACGAUAUCUCUAGGCAUAGGAAUUUUUCAGCUCCUUUAUAAUCUUAUAGGACUACCUUCAUUAAUGUGGUCUGUCGUUGACCCAAACAUUGUUAUGUUGUGCAUGACUAUAAUUACAACUGUGACCACCCCUGCCAGUCCGUCUAGCCUACUCCCUAUCUUCACUCCGUUAUUUCUCAAUGACCCCUAAAUCUCCAAUCUAUUUAUAUUACAUUAAUAUUUCUAUACCCACAAUCCCACCCCCCAUACACUCACUUCCUUUAUUAUUUAGCUUAUAUUCUGGAGUCCUUCAAUUGUAGCAAGUCUCUGGCCAUUACUAACUUACUUGCCCUUCAUACUGCACUUACCUGGCAAAAUGCUUUACCUUCCACAUGAUCUCUUUAUCUCAUUUACAUUUUGUUUUCUAAGAUAUUCUUUUUGCAGUGAGUCCUCCUUUCUCCUGAAUUAUCAGCUAUUUCUGCUGUAUAAGAUCAUUCUAUUGUCAUACAAAAUAUUCUCUGGUGUCUUUGUCAUUAAUAUAUCUAAUCUUGACAUAACUUGAGUAUAAGUAUCAUUCAUUAAUAUUACUUGAGGAUGCAUAUUAUACUUAUGUACUCAAUGUAAAGAUGAUUCAGAAUAAAUUCUAAAAUUACUAAGAUGAGAAAUAGCAUGGAGUUUAUUUUAAAUAUUCACGUAAUGUUUCUAAGAUGCUGAACUUUUGAGCUCUGCUCUUUUUAUACUUUAUUCAGGUUCAGCUACAUUUAAAAUAACAGAACUAUUCAUUUUAGCAAUUGACAUAACAAACUCUGACUACUAUUCAAAAUUUUAUGAUAUAUCAGAAUACUGGAGAGGGAAGUAAGCCUAUGCAAAAUAUACAGAAAAGUUUUUUUCUUUGUUAUUCUAGUAACCUCACAACUACUCAAUAAAUCCCUUUAUGAUUAUGUAGUACUUGUUCCUGAAGCCAUAAUAAAAGUACAAAAAAGAAAAGAGAACAGAGGUUUUAGUCAUAUCUACCUGGCAAAAUAUCAGCCAUAUCUACAUGGAGAGUCCGCAUAGUAUGAAAGUUUGCUUAUAGAAACAAGCUUUCAAAGGUGUAGUUCAUAGAAUACCACGCUUUCACCAACUAGAUAGUGGCUAAUAUGACAGGUCAAUCUAAAUAACAGAAUAAUAUGUCAACAUAGUUGGUGAAACAACAUUGUUUUGCUUGACCAAAUGCUAAACUAAAAGGUUCAGACAGAUUUAAGGAAAUCUGAGAUGGUAUCAUUGAACUCUAGAAACUUAGAAAAGUAGAAUGAAUUAUUGCUUGGGUCAAAUCAGCAAGUUGUAACUCAGCAAGUAUAACUCAACAAGAAUCUCUUGAGCCCCUGCUACAUGCAAGGCAUUGCCCUAAGCACGGGCUUUGGAUCUGUGGAAAGGAGUGAGGUAGGUAAUCUCUCUCAUCCUUGAUUUUGAAGACACCAGUUUACCCUCCAUUCUUUCAUGUUCUACAAGUCUCUGUGUAAAUGAAAUUUUAUCCAGGCCAGUUAAAAACUUACUUACCCCUGAGUUGUUAACGUAACAUUUAUAACUGGUCUCCCCACCACCAAUGUAUCUCCAGAGCAAACACCUCAUGGCAGGCUCUGAGUUUGUACUAAUUCAGUACAGCAUAAUCAGGAAACUAGUACACUCUUUUAUGCUAGGACAAGGUCCUUUUGAACUGCAUCUUUUGGUAUUAUCCCUUUUUUAGCCUGUGUCUUAGCUACAUGGAAUUGCUUGGAGUUUCCAGAAUAUCUCAAACUUUCCUACUUUAGUACUUCUGUACAUGGGUCCUGUGUCUGGAAUGACUUUUCCUGCCUACUUUAUCUCUUUCAUUUUUGCUUUAUUGUUUUGAAUUGUUGAUAUUGUUACUAUUUUUUAACUUAUUUUUUUCUAUUGGCAUGAUUGUACUUUUUUCUGGUUUUCUUUUAAUUCUGGGAAAUUUGGAAUGUUUUGGAAAAUAAAACAAAAAUCUCACCAUCCAAAUCUAUCUAUAACUG
Molecule: long non-coding RNA, 11958 nt
Filed under: Homo sapiens (human)
Lineage: Eukaryota; Metazoa; Chordata; Mammalia; Primates; Hominidae
Description: non-protein coding lnc-MAGEB18-1:3
Source: RNAcentral